Molecule: ribosomal RNA, 100 nt
Filed under: Erinaceus europaeus (western European hedgehog)
Lineage: Eukaryota; Metazoa; Chordata; Mammalia; Eulipotyphla; Erinaceidae
Source: RNAcentral
GUCUAUGGCCAUACCACCCUGAACACGCCAGAUCUCAUCUGAUCUCGGAAGAAAUGGACAUACAAGAUUUGAGUUUAAGUUCAAUAUGUGGCAACAGAGU